AGGCGCCCUGGAACUCCCCGCGCGUGUUGUGACCCAGAAUUCCCGGGGCUGUGGAAGAGACCAUAGACUCAACAGGAGGGGGAGUCCUGGGUAGCGCGCCGGUCUAAAUCGUUACUUGGCGGAAAGUUCCCAUGAGUCUUUGCCAGCGUCCCCCUCCUUUUGUGAGGAUUGGGAUAUUCCGACUCCUUAAGGGCCUGGCGCACAUAAGGUGUGACCUUUUCAUUCCCGUUGUUAUGGAGGUAGGCUCUCUAGGAAUCUGGGAGUAGUAGCUGGGGGGCAAGAGCAAAUAAAGAGCUCGAGCUUCUGUGGUCUCUGGGGAGAUGUUCCCGGGAAGCCUGUCUAGAGGGCGGAGGGCAGCUGUUGAGAUGGCGUGGCUCCCCGGCUCCUGCGCCCGCGUGGCUUUCGCGGCGGGCGCUGCGGCCCGGUAUUGGACAGCCUGGCAGGGCAGCGCGGGGCCGAAUCCGGCUGCCGUGGCUGAGGCUCAUGGAUCACUCUUUUGUGGUAGGGCCACAUCUGCCAGAGCCUGGAGUCUGCGAAGGCCGGGACCCGGUUCCCCGGCCCACAGUGGGGGUGUGCAAACCCGAGAGAACUGGGUUGCAAAUUCGUGAAGAAUCAGCAUCAUGUUUGGCAGCUGAGUAUUGGAGCCAGGAGCCUGCCAUGAGGCAGAACCGGGUGGAACUGCAUGAGAAGCGACGGAGGCGCCAGCCCCAGCCAGCUCCCUGUGGCUCCUGGCACCAAUCAGGCCUCGAGGCUUCCUCAACACCAGCUUUCCUUCCCCUCCCAUUGGGCCCUGCAUCCCUGCCUUCUGCAACAUUGUGCUCCUGACCCUGGCUGGCUCCCAGCCCUCCACAGCUGGGCCCCACCUCAGAGCCUUUGCAUCAGGUAGCCCCAGAGUCAGAGAGAAGGCCCCCGACAAAGCCGCAGAUGGAGCUCAGCCCCAGGAAACACCUUUCCAGAGCAAGGCUCCAGCUCACUGUAGGACCACAGUCAAGUCUGUAUCCAGGCCGAGCGACAGCCGAUGCAGCCUCAGUGUUCCUUUGCCUUGGGGGUUUCUGAGUGGUGGGGUUGUAAGCAGAUCCUGCCAGGCACCCAGAAGGAAACCUCAUCAGGACUCCCUCAGAAAGGCCCUGAAGAAUCCUGUGACCUUCAUCUAAAGUAGGUCAUGAGACCCCUGAGCUUAAAACGGAGUGAUCGGCUUUGGAGAAGUAAGGAGACAUGACGUGCCUGCCCUGGGGUGGGGACUAAACUUCGUGCCACUCCACGUGAAAGGGGGAGGCAUGACUCCACAGUUUCUGCAACAACAGAGCCGGGGAAAGGAGGACGCAGCAAGCGCUGAAUAUUAACCAGCAAAGGUGAUCUGCCUGCCUCAGCUUCCCAAAGUGCUGGGAUUACAGGAGUGAGCCGCUGUGCCUGGCCUCCCAUUUUCUAAAAGAGUCUAAUUCCAGUCCAAAGUCCCUCCCUGCUCCGUGUGCCCAUUACCUUCAGAGAGCCCUCUUCUGGUCCUGGCUCAUGGACUGGCCUCUCCCUAAGACAUGCGACACCAAAGCCAUUUCUAUUCGCCUCGCCCUGCUGGACCUUUUCUGGAGAGAUGGGAAUUCUUGGAACAGGU
Molecule: long non-coding RNA, 1609 nt
Filed under: Homo sapiens (human)
Lineage: Eukaryota; Metazoa; Chordata; Mammalia; Primates; Hominidae
Description: PREDICTED lncRNA (TCONS_00107448)
Source: RNAcentral